Rattus norvegicus (Norway rat) is the source of this 685-nucleotide non-coding RNA. Lineage: Eukaryota; Metazoa; Chordata; Mammalia; Rodentia; Muridae. The record is from RefSeq and is a predicted model, not a curated record.
AUGGGAGGUAGGGAAUAUUUUAAAGGAAACUUCAUGGAAAAAACAAACUAAAUGAUGUAUAUGAUGUCUUCAAAUUUCUGUACAACAAGUACAGUGAUGACACAUAUCUCAGCAACAUAAAAAAUCAGUCAUUCAUCAUGCACAUAUGGGAAAUUGGAGAAAUUGAAAUGGUUAAAACCACAUGUAAAAAGACUGAGUCUGACUUCCACCAAUGUCAUUUAGAGAGGGAAUUCUAUGCCAUAAAGCGGACUCCUGGAGAAACAAUGUACUAUAUAUCAUUGCCUGGAAGAAUCAGAUGCAGGAAGUUCCUGUCUAAUCUGGGCAAAUGUCCCUUCCAAGAACAAACAGAAGAACUGAAGAGAGAAAUAUGUUACUUUCAACUGUAUCCUGAUUAUUAUGAGCAAAAUAUGAAUGCUGUAAGAUUCAAUUGUUAUACUGAAUGAGACUCUGAGCCUGACUGGACUGUUACCCACCACUUGCAGACAUUGAUUAUAGUUCUGGAACUCUAAUAUGGAAUCACCCUUCAGUCUGGAUGCCAGGAGUCGCAGAGAUAUGCAGUCCAGUUAUGUACACCUGAACAAUUGUCUUCCUUUUACUUUUCACACACUUCUUUUAAAUGAACCAUUGUAAGCCUCCCAUGAAAAACCUAUGCUUUGCUCAAUAAAGGUACUCCCAAUCCUCUUGA